GCAUUGGUGGUUCAGUGGGAGGAUUCUCACCUUCGUACAGGAGACCUGGGUUCAAUUCCCGGCCAAUACG
This 70-nucleotide transfer RNA is filed under the name Loxodonta africana (African savanna elephant). It matches the Rfam family "tRNA". Rfam says of the family: Transfer RNA (tRNA) molecules are approximately 80 nucleotides in length. Their secondary structure includes four short double-helical elements and three loops (D, anti-codon, and T loops). Further hydrogen bonds mediate the characteristic L-shaped molecular structure. tRNAs have two regions of fundamental functional importance: the anti-codon, which is responsible for specific mRNA codon recognition, and the 3' end, to which the tRNAs corresponding amino acid is attached (by aminoacyl-tRNA synthetases). tRNAs cope with the degeneracy of the genetic code in two manners: having more than one tRNA (with a specific anti-codon) for a particular amino acid; and 'wobble' base-pairing, i.e. permitting non-standard base-pairing at the 3rd anti-codon position. Lineage: Eukaryota; Metazoa; Chordata; Mammalia; Proboscidea; Elephantidae. The record is from Rfam by way of RNAcentral.